RNAcentral lists this transfer RNA (87 nucleotides) under Myxococcales bacterium. RNAcentral describes it as "tRNA-Leu". It matches the Rfam family "tRNA". From Rfam's summary of the family: Transfer RNA (tRNA) molecules are approximately 80 nucleotides in length. Their secondary structure includes four short double-helical elements and three loops (D, anti-codon, and T loops). Further hydrogen bonds mediate the characteristic L-shaped molecular structure. tRNAs have two regions of fundamental functional importance: the anti-codon, which is responsible for specific mRNA codon recognition, and the 3' end, to which the tRNAs corresponding amino acid is attached (by aminoacyl-tRNA synthetases). tRNAs cope with the degeneracy of the genetic code in two manners: having more than one tRNA (with a specific anti-codon) for a particular amino acid; and 'wobble' base-pairing, i.e. permitting non-standard base-pairing at the 3rd anti-codon position. The record is from RNAcentral. Lineage: Bacteria; Pseudomonadati; Myxococcota; Myxococcia; Myxococcales.
GCGGCGGUGGCGGAACUGGUAGACGCGCUACGUUGAGGUCGUAGUGGCCAAUUGGCCAUGGGAGUUCGAGUCUCCCUCGCCGCACCA